This is a transfer RNA of Felis catus (domestic cat), 73 nucleotides long. It matches the Rfam family "tRNA". Rfam says of the family: Transfer RNA (tRNA) molecules are approximately 80 nucleotides in length. Their secondary structure includes four short double-helical elements and three loops (D, anti-codon, and T loops). Lineage: Eukaryota; Metazoa; Chordata; Mammalia; Carnivora; Felidae. The record is from Rfam.
GCAUGGUUGGCUCAGCUGGUAGAGCAUGUGACUCUUGAUCUCAGGGUUGUGAGCUCAAGCCCCACAUUGGGGA